Long non-coding RNA from Oreochromis niloticus (Nile tilapia), 654 nucleotides. RefSeq lists it as uncharacterized. Lineage: Eukaryota; Metazoa; Chordata; Actinopteri; Cichliformes; Cichlidae. The record is from RefSeq and is a predicted model, not a curated record. The transcript has 4 exons.
UUGUUGACAACGCAUAAAAUAGGCGCUUGUCAGGUCGUGUGGUUAUAUUAAAUAUAAGCGAAAGAGAGAACCUUCAAGAAAUGAAUAUAGCCACUACAGUGACCAUCAAGACCAUUAAAUUUGGAUAAUAAAACUCGAGGUGGAAACCAGGAGGCAGCCGGAAGAAUACAUCCGAGGACAGGACACAUCAAGUUGUGCUCAGUGUGCUGAGGUGAAGCAUCCAAACCACACGGCCUGUUCUUCAAUCCGGGAUCGUGUCCCAAAUCAGAGCUGCGGAAGGGUAAGCGUCACAGUGAGUGUGCUGCAGCUGAUGUUGACCUGAAGAAUCGUGUCUCGCAGGUACAGUCUGCAGUCUGUGAAGUGGGGCUCCUGCUGCUCAGGUGUUCUCACUGAAGUCCGUUUCACCUGAUGAGAGGAGGCAGCUCUGACUUGAGGCUGUUCAAGAAUGAGCGCCACUUGAUCUGGUUCCACCUCUACCACAGGCAGAGAAACACAGGCCUGGACUCUUUGUUGGCCAGACAAAAUCAGAAACGGAAAUCAUUGGUUUUUACAACUGGGUCCAGUUCUACCUGCAAAGGAUAUGAGGCCAGGGAGCAUGAUUUGCCAUGGGUUGAGCCAGCCCUGCAAACCCUGUGGAUGGACGAUGCAGUGGAC